Molecule: ribosomal RNA, 201 nt
Filed under: uncultured bacterium
Lineage: Bacteria
Description: partial 16S ribosomal RNA
Rfam family: Bacterial small subunit ribosomal RNA
Source: RNAcentral
GACGAACGCUGGCGGCGUGCUUAACACAUGCAAGUCGAGCGGUAAGGCCCUUUCGGGGGUACACGAGCGGCGAACGGGUGAGUAACACGUGGGUGACCUGCCCUCAGCUCUGGGAUAAGCCUGGGAAACUGGGUCUAAUACCGGAUAUGACUCCAUGACGCAUGUUGUGGGGUGGAAAGCCUUGUGCGGCUGAGGAUGGGG